CGAAUUGUAUGAUAGACAGAUUUCAUACGAUGAAUUUUUCCAAUUGUGUCAGAGUUCCCUCUUGAGUUGGCAAUCCGAUUGGGACACAGCGGUGGUUACAUUCACUUCUAUCAAAUGGUUCUUCCAAAGCGUGGUUCAAUGGUUUAUGUGCAUAUCUAAAAAAUAAAUCUUGAGUAACAGAAAAAGGUCUGAACGAAUCGAAAAACAAAGAAUAAGCCCUUCCUAUUAUGGUGCCAAAGCAAGCAGUUGUCUUUUUAUUUUGAUCCUAAAACAGGUUUUAACAAGUGGCGACGAUGAAAAAGUUAUUUCGCACAAAUAGUGCAAAUUUUGAAAAAUGAAAAGCAGAGAUAAGCCAACAUAGCCUUUGCGAUAGACGCCAGCAGACGCCAUUGCGGUAGAGGAACAAUUGGCCUAUAUAAACCUUUUGUCUUUGCAUUACGGAAUCACCAUUAUUGAUUCCGGUGAAUUUUCCUGCGUUAAACUUCGACGGGCAGCAACUCGUAUUUCUAAUCCAGCACUGCAAAAGCCGAGAGGCGCUUUAGGUUAGUCUUAUUUCACGUUACCUCCCGGAAAGGCAGUUGCAGAAACGAGAACAAGACGACGAAAGGAAUCCUAAAUAUCCAGCAGCUAAGAUUAUACUUAAUUGUGUGCGAUUUUUAUGAUAUCAUUAAAGGAAAUGAUUAAAAAUGAAAAACAUGCAUAGAAGACUAUGUUAACAUGAUAAGUCCUAAUAAUUCUGAAAUUAACCCGGACAUGCUCUUGAGUGAUAUGGUCAACUGAAUGUGAUCCAGAUAGUGAGAAUGUGAGGAUGGUUCAAAUUGGAAACGUACCAACUAUGGCACAUAGCAGUGUAAUUCGCAUAUGUAAAGGAUAUAGUACCUUUAAAAAUCAAAUACGCGCUUGGUCCGGCGACGGCCGAGGCUAGACGCCAGCGAUACCCACCAGGAAGAGUUUCGUAAGCAUUAAUUUUUUGUGGGCUUAGUCAUCGUUGGAGUAUCGUCCUCUCAGCCGAGAGUUGUCACACGCACUGUAGCAUUGUGCAUUGGGACCAGGGAUAGGAUCUGGUGUUCGACUGGCUGUUGAAGGUGGGCGAUAAAUCGACAGCAUUGACUUUGUUGCAUUGAAUACUUUUUUGGCUGAUAUUGACUGGACUGAUGUCCUGUCUGGAACCGAUGUCGACCUUGUCGUGAAGAAGUAGCAACCCCAAUUCAUGAUAUUGAUAAAUUGCCGGAUUUGUUUCUAAGGCGUUCGAAAAGUUUACACUGACAAAGAAUUUGUUCAUACGAAAUAGUUUACUGUUAGUAAUAUCGAAUCGUUAUAUUAUGAGUGUUAGUAGUGAUUUCUUGAAUUGGUUAAGUUUGAUUGUAGUUUCUGAUUUUUGUGACAAUUGAAUUGAAAUGCUCUGGGAAUAAUUUUAAAACGUAAUUCUCUAAAUGGGGAAGGGCUGAAGUGUUCGUAACAAAUGCGUAUAUAUUUACUAUUAUAAUGAGUAGUUUGUAG
This is a long non-coding RNA of Toxorhynchites rutilus septentrionalis, 1500 nucleotides long. RefSeq lists it as uncharacterized. NCBI's taxonomy places the organism in Eukaryota, Metazoa, Arthropoda, Insecta, Diptera, Culicidae. The transcript has 3 exons. The record is from RefSeq and is a predicted model, not a curated record.